CAAAAGGCUUUAUUUGAAGCCAUUAAUUAUUCUGUAAUGUCUUCAU
Non-coding RNA from Fukomys damarensis (Damara mole-rat), 46 nucleotides. The record is from Rfam. Lineage: Eukaryota; Metazoa; Chordata; Mammalia; Rodentia; Bathyergidae.